This 506-nucleotide ribosomal RNA is filed under the name uncultured bacterium. RNAcentral's name for it is "partial 16S ribosomal RNA". It matches the Rfam family "Bacterial small subunit ribosomal RNA", at positions 29 to 523 of the family's 1533-position model. The record is from RNAcentral.
AGUGAACGCUGGCGGUAGGCCUAACACAUGCAAGUCGAACGGCAGCACAGGAGAGCUUGCUCUCUGGGUGGCGAGUGGCGGACGUGUGAGGAAUACAUCGGAAUCUACUUUUUCGUGGGGGAUAACGUAGGGAAACUUACGCUAAUACCGCAUACGACCUACGGGUGAAAGCAGGGGAUCUUCGGACCUUGCGCGAUUGAAUGAGCCGAUGUCGGAUUAGCUAGUUGGCGGGGUAAAGGCCCACCAAGGCGACGAUCCGUAGCUGGUCUGAGAGGAUGAUCAGCCACACUGUAACUGAGACACGGUCCAGACUCCUACGGGAGGCAGCAGUGGGGAAUAUUGGACAAUGGGCGCAAGCCUGAUCCAGCCAUACCGCGUGGGUGAAGAAGGCCUUCGGGUUGUAAAGCCCUUUUGUUGGGAAAGAAAUCCAGCUGGUUAAUACCCGGUUGGGAUGACGGUACCCAAAGAAUAAGCACCGGCUAACUUCGUGCCAGCCGCCGCAGUAA